AUGACACACCGUCAACUCACAUCUGAGUAUCUCGGAUACAAAUGGUUGAAAGACAUAGGCUUUGAUCCCACUGUGAAAGUGAGGUUUCUCAUGCGGACGGUGAAAAAACAAUUUUGUUAUGAUGUCAAGUAUGGGAAGGCAUGGAAGGCAAAGGCAAAUGCUAUUAGGAUGUUGUAUGGUGGUUACGAAGAAGCAUACAACCAGCUCCCAAGGUUGUUGGCCGCCAUUGCACAUAGGAACCCGGGCAUGUUUCAUGUGGUCGAGGAUCACGAGGGAGUGUUCCACCGUGCCUUCUGGAGUUAUGGACAAUGUGUGGAGGCGUUUCAGCACUGUCGUCCGGUCUUGUCUAUAGAUGGCACGUUCUUGAGCGGUAGAUACAAGGGCACACUAAUGGUAGCAAUGGCGUACUCAUCAAACGACAAUGUGUUGCCGUGUGCAUUUGCUUUGGUGCCUUCCGAGCACCAAGACAACUGGGAGUGGUUCAUGGGUCAUGUUAGGCAUAACGUGAUUGGGGCUAGGGAGGUAUGCAUCAUAUCGGACCGGCAUCAUGGCAUACUCAAGCCAAUGGACAUUGUUAUUCCAGGAUUUCCAAAGCUUCACCACAGAUGGUGCAUGAGGCAUUUCGUGGCCAACUUUUACCGGGCAUGUAAGAGCAAGGAGCUCAGCAAAGACCUUACCCAUGUAUGUGUGGCCUUCACCACCCAAGGUUUCGAUGCUCGGUACAACAAACUCUUUGCAGCGGUGAACGAAGGGGGGAAAGACUUCUUAACUAGGAAUUUAAGCGAGAAGCACAAGUGGGCACGUGCUCAUGACGAUGGUGGUUGGCGAUAUGGCGACAUGACGAGCAAUCUGGUAGAAUGUUUCAACAAUGUGUUGAAGGGUGCUCGUGCAUUGCCGGUGACUGCAAUAGUGGAGUACACCUUCUUCAAGCUUAAUGAGUACUUUCAGAGGCAUUCUGAAGAGACUGCAAAAUGGAUAGGUGAAAAAAAGGAUUAUCCAGAAAAGGUUGAUGAAUGGUUGCAGUUACAAGCAAGCAAGUCUUCACGGCAACAAGUUAUCAUAUUCGAUAGAAUUGAAAUGAUCUAUCAAAUUGAUGAGCCAGGUGUUGGAAAUAUGCCCUAG
Molecule: ribosomal RNA, 1122 nt
Filed under: Triticum aestivum (bread wheat)
Lineage: Eukaryota; Viridiplantae; Streptophyta; Magnoliopsida; Poales; Poaceae
Description: partial small subunit ribosomal RNA
Source: RNAcentral